UCAACUCGAGGGAAGGUGGGGAUGACGUCAAGUCAUCAUGCCCCCUAUGUCCAGGGCUUCACGCAUGCUACAAUGGCCGGUACAAAGGGCUGCGAUCCCGUGAGGGGGAGCGAAUCCCAAAAAGCCGGUCUCAGUUCGGAUUGGGGUCUGCAACUCGACCCCAUGAAGUCGGAGUCGCUAGUAAUCGCAGAUCAGCAACGCUGCGGUGAAUACGUUCCCGGGCCUUGUACACACCGCCCGUCACGUCACGAAAGUCGGCAACACCCGAAGCCGGUGGCCUAACCCCUUGUGGGAGGGAGCCGUCGAAGGUGGGGCUGGCGAUUGGGACGAAGUCGUAACAAGGUAGCCGUACCGGAAGGUGCGGCUGGAUCACCUCCUUUCUAAGGAGCACACGCCCCGAUACCAGACGACUGUUCUGGUACGCAUGGUGGUGUUCACUAGUGGAAUCGUCGAUGAUGCUUCGUCCUGGUGGGCGGGGUCUUCUCAGUACUGUCCGCACGUGUCCUUUCGAGGUCGUGUGGGCGUGGAACCUGGAGAUCUCUGCUUGUUGGGGUGGGGUUGGCACACUGUUGAGCUUUGAGGGAUCAGGUGACUGGUUGCUCGUUGCCUCCUGGUAUCCCAGGGCUGCCGGAUGGUGGUGUUGGGGGCUUGGUGGGCUGGUUGUUUGUGAAUUGGAUAGUGGACGCGAGCAUCUGACGCGACAGACGUAUCUGCCUCUUGUGUGGGGUGGGUGCGGGUGUCGUGUCUUUCUAGAUGUAAUUAAUUCUAGUCUUUGUAGUUUUUGUUGAGUGUUUGUGAGACAAGCUAUGAAGGGCACAUGGUGGAUGCCUUGGCAUCAAGAGCCGAUGAAGGACGUAGGAGCCUGCGAUAAGCCCUGGGGAGU
This 883-nucleotide small RNA is filed under the name uncultured bacterium. Its description in RNAcentral is "bacterial SSU rRNA". The stretch from base 1 to 380 matches the Rfam family "Bacterial small subunit ribosomal RNA", at positions 1158 to 1533 of the family's 1533-position model. The record is from RNAcentral.